Molecule: long non-coding RNA, 335 nt
Filed under: Spirodela polyrhiza (greater duckweed)
Lineage: Eukaryota; Viridiplantae; Streptophyta; Magnoliopsida; Alismatales; Araceae
Description: long non-coding RNA (SPOL_LNC000899)
Source: RNAcentral
UCCAAAUUUUUUUUCUUUUUUUUUUGGCUUUGUUUGGGCAAUUCGGGGCCGGCAGGCAUGGCCGGCGAUUCGUCGUCUCUGACGGCCGAUUCACUCGCGCAGAUGAAGUCUCUCCUCGCGCAAGCUGAGAAGGUCUCUGUAGAAAACAGGCAUCUCACCUUGAGCACAGAAAAAACCAGGCUCGAGCUAGCGGAGACCGAGAAGGACCUGAAGUGGUUGAGGUCUGCCUUCGAAUCCUCCGAGAAGGAGCUCGAGCAGCACCAGCAGAAGGCUGCCAAGCUCCGCAUGGACCUCGAGGACGAGAGGUACGCGGAGCAUCUGCACAUGCACGGCCC